This 361-nucleotide ribosomal RNA is filed under the name Staphylococcus aureus. RNAcentral's name for it is "bacterial SSU rRNA". It matches the Rfam family "Bacterial small subunit ribosomal RNA", at positions 202 to 555 of the family's 1533-position model. Lineage: Bacteria; Bacillati; Bacillota; Bacilli; Caryophanales; Staphylococcaceae. The record is from RNAcentral.
GACGGUCUUGCUGUCACUUAUAGAUGGAUCCGCGCUGCAUUAGCUAGUUGGUAAGGUAACGGCUUACCAAGGCAACGAUGCAUAGCCGACCUGAGAGGGUGAUCGGCCACACUGGAACUGAGACACGGUCCAGACUCCUACGGGAGGCAGCAGUAGGGAAUCUUCCGCAAUGGGCGAAAGCCUGACGGAGCAACGCCGCGUGAGUGAUGAAGGUCUUCGGAUCGUAAAACUCUGUUAUUAGGGAAGAACAUAUGUGUAAGUAACUGUGCACAUCUUGACGGUACCUAAUCAGAAAGCCACGGCUAACUACGUGCCAGCAGCCGCGGUAAUACGUAGGUGGCAAGCGUUAUCCGGAAUUAUU